Molecule: ribosomal RNA, 468 nt
Filed under: uncultured bacterium
Lineage: Bacteria
Description: partial 16S ribosomal RNA
Rfam family: Bacterial small subunit ribosomal RNA
Source: RNAcentral
GACGAACGCUGGCGGCGUGCUUAACACAUGCAAGUCGAACGGAAAGGCCCUGCUUUUGUGGGGUGCUCGAGUGGCGAACGGGUGAGUAACACGUGAGUAACCUGCCCUUGACUUUGGGAUAACUUCAGGAAACUGGGGCUAAUACCGGAUAGGAGCUCCUGCUGCAUGGUGGGGGUUGGAAAGUUUCGGCGGUCGGGGAUGGACUCGCGGCUUAUCAGCUUGUUGGUGGGAUAGUGGCUUACCAAGGCUUUGACGGGUAGCCGGCCUGAGAGGGUGACCGGCCACAUUGGGACUGAGAUACGGCCCAGACUCCUACGGGAGGCAGCAGUGGGGAAUAUUGCACAAUGGGCGGAAGCCUGAUGCAGCAACCCCGCGUGCGGGAUGACGGCCUUCGGGUUGUAAACCGCUUUCGCCUGUGACGAAGCGUGAGUGACGGUAAUGGGUAAAGAAGCACCGGCUAACUACGUG